This 459-nucleotide ribosomal RNA is filed under the name uncultured bacterium. Its description in RNAcentral is "partial 16S ribosomal RNA". It matches the Rfam family "Bacterial small subunit ribosomal RNA", at positions 338 to 795 of the family's 1533-position model. The record is from RNAcentral.
CCUACGGGUGGCAGCAGUGAGGAAUAUUGGUCAAUGGGCGGGAGCCUGAACCAGCCAAGCCGCGUGAGGGAAGAAGGUACAGCGUAUCGUAAACCUCUUUUGUCAGGGAACAAAGGCGGGGACUAGUCCCCGGAUGAGGGUACCUGAAGAAAAAGCAUCGGCUAACUCCGUCCCAGCAGCCGCGGUAAUCCGGAGGAGGCGAGCGUUAUCCGGAUUUAUUGGGUUUAAGGGGUGCGCAGGCGGCCUGUUAAGUCAGCGGUAAAAGGCCGGGGCUCAACCCCGGCGAGCCGUUGAAACUGGCUGGCUGGAGUGGGAGAGAAGUACGCGGAAGGCGCGGUGUAGCGGUGAAAUGCUUAGAUAUCGCGCAGAACCCCGAUUGCGAAGGCAGCGUACCGGCUCCACACUGACGCUGAGGCACGAAAGCGUGGGUAUCGAACAGGAUUAGAUACCCUGGUAGUC